This is a non-coding RNA of Podarcis lilfordi (Lilford's wall lizard), 69 nucleotides long. The record is from the annotation of a GenBank genome assembly. Lineage: Eukaryota; Metazoa; Chordata; Lepidosauria; Squamata; Lacertidae.
GCUGUAGCUCAGUGGCUGAGUAUCUGUUUUGCAUAUGGAUGGUCCCAGUUUUAUUCACUGGCAUCUCCA